Long non-coding RNA from Amphiprion ocellaris (clown anemonefish), 813 nucleotides. NCBI's taxonomy places the organism in Eukaryota, Metazoa, Chordata, Actinopteri, Pomacentridae. The record is from Ensembl.
CAAAAAAGGUCCGUUUUUUCAUUUUCUGAGACCGGAAGAGGUCAUCAGCAAGCGUGGAGCCAAUAGACUGUACAUAUGUUUUUUUUCGUGAGUUUUCAUGGUCAAAAUGAGAGCUCAGGUGGCCGAUCUUAAAAUAAAUCAAUAUUGAUUUUUUUAUAGGGAAUUAAAGUUUUGCGAAGCCAGGGGGCGGGACUACUUGAUUGACAGUCCGGUCUGGAAUGAUUGACAGGUCCUAUGGAGGAGGCAGCAGAGACUCUGUUCUCCUCGUUUGGAUUAAUUCUGAUAUAAUAACUGUUGGUUUAUUUAUUGGUGGAGCAGCAGAACAUUUUCCACAGACAGUUUUCCUGCCCGUUGGCUUGUUUUAACCAGUUUUCUACCUUCGGCUGAUUCUACCAGCAGACACUGAAAGGACUCUGAUAGUUCGAGUGAAAGUAGCAGUUCCUCCUUAAGGUCAGAGAUUGCAGCAUCUGAGGGCCUCUUCAAAAGAAGACAUAGUUGAUGAAGGCGUUCUGGAGCAGGACCAGAAAGACCACGACCAAGCAGCCUUGAGAUCUUAGGCAGCGUCUCCCUCAGACCAAAGAACUACAGACUCUUCACAACCUGCUCAAACUCUUGGUACAGGACCUCACCACACGGGUCAAAAAGGUUUCCUUCUCAUUUCUACUCUGAAGCUCACCUUCUCCUGCUCAAACUGCUGACAAAUGUUUCUGCUGCUCUAAAGUCUGGUCUCCAGAACUUCCUAAAACCUCUCAAAGUCUCUUCUGCUGCAGGUUGCUUUGUAGAACUGUUGCAGAAAACCUCACUAAACCACAU